UCUGGCCGGGCGGCGGGCCGCCGCCUGCCCUCUGGGGGCGGGCCCGUCGAGGUCGUCGUCCGUGACGACGGGCUGGGGC
Molecule: transfer RNA, 79 nt
Filed under: Planomonospora parontospora
Lineage: Bacteria; Bacillati; Actinomycetota; Actinomycetes; Streptosporangiales; Streptosporangiaceae
Also listed under: 1 other name
Description: tRNA-Gln
Source: RNAcentral